UCUUCAGUGAUGAACAACGCAGUGACUUUUGUUCUUCUGAAUUUUCUGAAGCCAGUCUUUGUGUAUUGAGAGA
Nothobranchius furzeri (turquoise killifish) is the source of this 73-nucleotide small nucleolar RNA. Lineage: Eukaryota; Metazoa; Chordata; Actinopteri; Cyprinodontiformes; Nothobranchiidae. The record is from Ensembl.